Molecule: small nuclear RNA, 155 nt
Organism: Patiria miniata (bat star)
Lineage: Eukaryota; Metazoa; Echinodermata; Asteroidea; Valvatida; Asterinidae
Product: U12 minor spliceosomal RNA
Exons: 1
Source: RefSeq, a predicted model, not a curated record
AUGCCUUAAACUAAUGAGUAAGGAAAAUAAUGAGCUUGGGUGACGCCAGGCUCCACAGCAAAAUAUUGUCUGUGAAGAAUUUUUGAGGGGGGACAGGUCGCCCUAGGUGUGUCCCACCUACUUCAGUGGGAUGCCCUUGUUGAGUGAUCUACCCC